CGAAAUGCGAUAAUUAAUGUGAAUUGCAGAAUUCAGUGAAUCAUCGAGUCUUUGAACGCACAUUGCGCCCCCUGGUAUUCCGGGGGGCAUGCCUGUCCGAGCGUCAUUGCUGCCCUCAAGCACGGCUUGUGUGUUGGGCUUCCGUCCCUGGCAACGGGGACGGGCCCAAAAGGCAGUGGCGGCACCAUGUCUGGUCCUCGAGCGUAUGGGGCUUUGUCACCCGCUCCCGUAGGUCCAGCUGGCAGCUAGCCUCGCAACCAAUCUUUUUAACCAGGUUGACCUCGGAUCAGGUAGAGAUACCCGCUGAACUUAAGC
RNAcentral lists this unclassified non-coding RNA (315 nucleotides) under plant metagenome. Its description in RNAcentral is "partial contains 5.8S ribosomal RNA, internal transcribed spacer 2, and large subunit ribosomal RNA". The stretch from base 1 to 106 matches the Rfam family "5.8S ribosomal RNA", at positions 49 to 154 of the family's 154-position model. The record is from RNAcentral.